Molecule: ribosomal RNA, 1438 nt
Filed under: uncultured organism
Description: 16S ribosomal RNA
Rfam family: Bacterial small subunit ribosomal RNA
Source: RNAcentral
CAGGCUUAACACAUGCAAGUCGAGGGGCAGCAUUUUAGUUUGCUUGCAAACUGAAGAUGGCGACCGGCGCACGGGUGAGUAACACGUAUCCAACCUGCCGAUAACUCCGGGAUAGCCUUUCGAAAGAAAGAUUAAUACCGGAUAGCAUACGAAUAUCGCAUGAUAUUUUUAUUAAAGAAUUUCGGUUAUCGAUGGGGAUGCGUUCCAUUAGUUUGUUGGCGGGGUAACGGCCCACCAAGACUACGAUGGAUAGGGGUUCUGAGAGGAAGGUCCCCCACAUUGGAACUGAGACACGGUCCAAACUCCUACGGGAGGCAGCAGUGAGGAAUAUUGGUCAAUGGGCGCGAGCCUGAACCAGCCAAGUAGCGUGAAGGAUGAAGGCUCUAUGGGUCGUAAACUUCUUUUAUAUGGGAAUAAAGUUUUCCACGUGUGGAAUUUUGUAUGUACCAUAUGAAUAAGGAUCGGCUAACUCCGUGCCAGCAGCCGCGGUAAUACGGAGGAUCCGAGCGUUAUCCGGAUUUAUUGGGUUUAAAGGGAGCGUAGGUGGAUUGUUAAGUCAGUUGUGAAAGUUUGCGGCUCAACCGUAAAAUUGCAGUUGAAACUGGCAGUCUUGAGUACAGUAGAGGUGGGCGGAAUUCGUGGUGUAGCGGUGAAAUGCUUAGAUAUCACGAAGAACUCCGAUUGCGAAGGCAGCUCACUAGACUGUCACUGACACUGAUGCUCGAAAGUGUGGGUAUCAAACAGGAUUAGAUACCCUGGUAGUCCACACAGUAAACGAUGAAUACUCGCUGUUUGCGAUAUACAGUAAGCGGCCAAGCGAAAGCAUUAAGUAUUCCACCUGGGGAGUACGCCGGCAACGGUGAAACUCAAAGGAAUUGACGGGGGCCCGCACAAGCGGAGGAACAUGUGGCUUAAUUCGAUGAUACGCGAGGAACCUUACCCGGGCUUAAAUUGCAACAGAAUAUAUUGGAAACAGUAUAGCCGUAAGGCUGUUGUGAAGGUGCUGCAUGGUUGUCGUCAGCUCGUGCCGUGAGGUGCCGGCUUAAGUGCCAUAACGAGCGCAACCCUUAUCUUUAGUUACUAACAGGUCAUGCUGAGGACUCUAGAGAGACUGCCGUCGUAAGAUGUGAGGAAGGUGGGGAUGACGUCAAAUCAGCACGGCCCUUACGUCCGGGGCUACACACGUGUUACAAUGGGGGGUACAGAAGGCGGCUACCUGGUGACAGGAUGCUAAUCCCAAAAACCUCUCUCAGUUCGGAUCGAAGUCUGCAACCCGACUUCGUGAAGCUGGAUUCGCUAGUAAUCGCGCAUCAGCCAUGGCGCGGUGAAUACGUUCCCGGGCCUUGUACACACCGCCCGUCAAGCCAUGAAAGCCGGGGGUACCUGAAGUACGUAACCGCAAGGAGCGUCCUAGGGUAAAACUGGUAAUUGGGGCUAA